GAUGAACGCUGGCGGCAUGCCUAACACAUGCAAGUCGAUCGGUAAGGCCCUUCGGGGUACACGAGAGGCGGACGGCUGAGUAACGCGUGGGAACGCACCCCAAAGUGAGGGAUAACUGCCCGAAAGGGUAGCUAAUACCGCAUAUGGUCUUCGGAUUAAAGUUUUAACGCUUUGGGAGCGGCCCGCGUACUAUUAGGUAGUUGGUAGGGUAAUGGCCUACCAAGCCGACGAUGGUUAGCUGGUCUGAGAGGAUGAUCAGCCAGACUGGGACUGAGACACGGCCCAGACUCCUACGGGAGGCAGCAGUGAGGAAUAUUCCACAAUGGGGGAAACCCUGAUGGAGCAAUGCCGCGUGCAGGAUGAAGGCCCUCGGGUUGUAAACUGCUUUUAUUUGUGUUUUAAUUAGACGGUAACAAUUGAAUAAGGGGCGGCUAACUACGUGCCAGCAGCCGCGGUCAUACGUAGGCCCCAAGCGUUAUCCGGAGUGACUGGGCGUAAAGAGUUGCGUAGGUGGCUUAUUAAGCGUGCGGUAAAAGCAGCCGGCUCAACCGGUUUGUCGCCCGCGCGAACUGAUAAGCUCGAGAGUGGUAGAGGUAGCUGGAAUUACUAGUGUAGGAGUGAAAUCCGUAGAUAUUAGUAGGAACACCAAUGGCGUAGGCAGGCUACUGGGCCAUUUCUGACGCUGAGGCACGAAAGCGUGGGGAGCGAACGGGAUUAGAUACCCCGGUAGUCCACGCCGUAAACGAUGGAUGUUAACUGUGGGGGGUAUCGACCCCCUCCGUAGUAAAGCUAACGCGUUAAACAUCCCGCCUGUGGAGUACGGCCGCAAGGCUAAAACAUAAAGGAAUUGACGGGGACCCGCACAAGCGGUGGAGCGUGUUCUUUAAUUCGAUGCUAAACGAAGAACCUUACCAGGGCUUGACAUCCCUUAGCGAAUUUCCGAAAGGAAAUUUUCAUUUAGUUGGAAGGUGACAGGUGAUGCAUGGCCGUCGUCAGCUCGUGUCGUGAGAUGUUUGGUUAAGUCCAUCAACGAGCGCAACCCUUAUUGUUAGUUGUAUUUUUCUAGCAAGACUGCUUUCGUAAGAGAGAGGAAGGAGGGGAUGAUGUCAGGUCAGUAUUUCCCUUACGCCCUGGGCCAGAAACGCGCUACAAUGGCCGGUACAACGGGCAGCGAAACUGUAAAGUGAAGCAAAUCCCAUCAAAACCGGUCCCAGUUCGGAUUGAGGGCUGAAACUCGCCCUCAUGAAGCCGGAAUCGCUAGUAAUCGCAAGUCAGCAAAUUGCGGUGAAUACGUUCCCGGGUCUUGUACACACCGCCCGUCAAACCAUGAAAGUCAGGAGCACCCGACGUCCGAAUUUAUUUCGGCCUAAGGUGAGCUUGGUGAUUGGGGUU
RNAcentral lists this ribosomal RNA (1392 nucleotides) under uncultured Candidatus Saccharibacteria bacterium. RNAcentral describes it as "bacterial SSU rRNA". It matches the Rfam family "Bacterial small subunit ribosomal RNA". Lineage: Bacteria; Candidatus Saccharimonadota. The record is from RNAcentral.